GGGUAUAGUAGUAUUUCGACGACGAUGGAGUGUUGGCAGCGAUGAUCUCGUGGUUCCUGGAGCAUUUUUGUGUAUUGUUCACAUUAUAUGGUAAGUUAAUAAUUUAAACCAUAAAGCAAAACGUGAUAAAUCAAAACUUUGAGAACUUUUAAAGUUAAUAAUUUUUUUUUCCUUUCAACAAUUAAUUAUAAAAUAUCUAAUGAAUCAUGGGGUACAUUCAGAAAUGCGCUAGCUCUAUCUCUAGCCAAGCGUUGCCAUAUAGCGAGAGCUAGAGUUAAAGAAUCUCCGAAUGCACCCAUAACAUUACUUCUUUCAUUUAAAAUUAUUUCAAACAUAAUUUAAUAUGAGUAAAUAAUAAAUUCCUUUCUGCACAAUAAAAAAUAUUAUGUUAAAAUCAGCAUAAUUUGUGUGUUAGAAACGGUCCACAAAAUAUUUGUGUUAAAAUUUAAACGAAAAAUUCGGGUAAUAUGAUGCAUAUAUUCAACACUUUUUAAAUGUCAGUGGCAAUACAAAAAUAACAUGUUAACUUUUACAUUUUAUUUUUGUACCAUGGAUAUUCAUUAAAUAUUAUUUAUACAUUUAUAUAUUAUUUUGAGGUUAUUAAAAGUGACAAUAAUCAUUAUUUAACAUUCAACUAUUUUUUGAAAGUAAACAAUGUAUUUGUUAGGAAAAUUAAAAAAAAAAAUCACGCAAUAUUUCAUACCCGACGUAAAUGAUCAAUCAAUUAAUUUCAUAUAAAAAAAUACAAAAACACAUUAUUGUUUAGCGAGAAAACAAUUUUGACAUUGGACAAAAUAAUUAAAAAUUAUAACUAAAUCUUUUUAAUUUGUAUGAUAAGCAUUCCAGCAUUUCGUAAAGGGUAAAUUUAAUAUAUUAAUAAUUAAAAUUGUUAACCUAAAGUGACAUUUAUAAAUGUCAAUUUGACUUUCAUCAUUGUUAUAAUUUUUUCUGUGACUAUCGAUUGAGUUUUUAACAUAAAUUUACUGUUAAUUUUAAAGUAUCACUUAAUAAAUGUUGAUAAUUUGGAUUUUUGUACUAGAUCACACUUGUUGUUUUAAACAGUAGAUCGAUUUUAAAUUUUAAGACAACACAACUAUAGUAAGCAUUUAAACAUUGCUCAAAAUUAAUUUCAAUUAAGAACAUAAAUAAAAUUGUUCACACUUGACGUAUGUAAUAAUUAUAAAAGAUAGAUUUUAAUCACUUAUUUAAUAAUUUUUAAUUCUCAACAACAGUUAAAAAAAUAAAUAUUCCAAGCAUUAUCGUUAUUUUAUCACAAAAUUGAUUUCGAAUUUAAAUUUGAAAUUCAAAUUUUCGUCGUAUUAAAACGGAAUGAAUUACUGCCGUAUUGCAGUGAGCUUUUAGUAUAAUUUUGAAUUUACGUUACGUAUGAGCGAAAAAACUCUGAGGUGGGACAAAACCUAUAUAGUUUAAUACAGUUUGAUUACUUAUCGCGAUGUCGAAAAAGACAGGUUAACUAUUGGCGAAUUUAAGAGAUGAUUCUCGAACCAAAGUGCUUAAAUAUUUUAAUGGCUAUUAUAAUUUAUUAAAAAAUAAAUAUCAAUGUGAAUCUAUUUUAAUAAUUAUAUUUGUUUGUAAUAUUACCGUGAAGUAAUGCCAAGUCUCGUGGCGUUUGAUAGACGAUGGCAUAUCGGCAGUGAUGAUCUUGUUAUGCCAGGUUUUUUUUUAAGCUCUGUCCAUUUUAUUCAGAUAACAGUUCUUGGAGUUCUGUUGGGAAUAAUCUCUUGGAAUCGAAGUAUUAUUUGUGUUCUAUUACUAUGGAAUUAUAUUCUUGGCUACCUCAUCAUAUUUAUUAUAAGUUUAGCUGUGGAAUUAGCAAUAUGUAUUUUAUCAAGUCGAGGGAGUAUUCUCGAUACUGUAGCACGUGCUCCUAUUCAGCAUUUUAUAUAUAUUAAACUUUCUCUUCUGCUAAUAGAAACAGGGUGGCUCUGUGCCGGUGUUACAUGGUUAAUUUAUUAUUAUAAAAGUUGUUCUGCUGUCAAUGAAGCAAAAGAUAUUAUGCUGGGUCUUGUUAUAUGCAACUGGUGUAUUUUGGCAUCAGUAACCAUUACUGUUUGGUGUACAUAUGACGCAGCUGGAAGAUCUUGGGUAAAGAUGAAAAAAUAUCAGCGUAGUAUGAGAGAAGCUGAAACACGAAGUGGUAGAAUGCAUUACAAACGCAGUGGCAGUCGUAAUAGAAACUGGCGACAACGAAAAGUUAUUCGCGCUUAUCAAGACAGUUGGGAUAAUAGAUGUAGAUUGCUUUUUUGCUGUAUGGGCAAUUCAGACAGAAAUCAGAAUUCUUUUACAGAUAUUGCAAGGCUUUUGAGUGAUUUUUUUCGUGAUCUAGAUGUUGUUCCUUCAGACGUUGUAGCUGGACUUGUAUUGCUACGGAAAUUCCAAAAGGUUGAAAGAGAAUUAAUUGUAAAACAACGUAAAAAUGACACAUAUGAAUUUCUUUCUGGUGUUCCAAUAACACCAAGAACAAAGUUUUUAUCAUUAACUGAAGAUGGAGAUUUAGUACAUUUCCAAGCUGCAAUUCAUUAUAUGCAUUUUGCCUUAGCAGCCUACGGUUGGCCAUUAUUUUUAAUAAAUCAUAAAACAGGCCUUUGCCAAUUAUGUACAAGAUUAAGAUGUGAAUGUUUUCCAUGUGUAAAAUUUAAUGAUGACGCCAUUGUAAUUGAUGACAAUUGCUGCCAAUGUAAUUAUGCGGCGCUUCGGCGUAUGGUUGAUGUAGGUGAAGUUGAAGUUAUUUAUGCAACUUUCCAUGUAGAUAUUGGAGAAACUCCAUUUUUUGUUGCAUUAGAUUAUACAAGACAAAAGGUUGUUAUUAGUAUUCGUGGUACACUUAGUAUGAAGGAUGUUUUGACGGAUUUAAAUGCUGAAGCAGAAGUAUUACCAUUAACACCACCACAGGAGGACUGGCUUGGACAUAAAGGCAUGGUUCAAGCUGCUGAAUACAUACGAAAAAAAAUAUCCAACGAAGGCAUUAUUACAAAAGCUUUAACCAAAAAUCCAGAGAGAGGUACUGAUCAGUUUGGAUUGGCACUGGUAGGUCAUUCAUUGGGUGCUGGGACUGCAUCAAUUCUUGCAAUACUUCUUAGACAGGAAUACCCAGAUUUGAUAUGUUUUUCGUAUGCUCCACCGGGUGGUCUUUUGAGUAUGCCAGCGCAACAAUAUACCCAAACGUUUAUUACAUCAGUUGUUGUUGGAAAAGAUGUAGUCCCGAGGAUAGGUUUACGUCAAAUGGAAAGCCUACGCGCGGAUUUAAUAAAUGCUAUCAAAAGAAGUGUUGAUCCUAAGUGGAAGACUAUUGCGUGUUCUGUGAUGUGCUGUGGGUGUGGUUCAGUGCCAACGUCCGCAGCAAAUUUAGAGGCAGGGGGAUGUAUUGCUGAUUAUCAAAGAGACAAAGAUCAAGCAAGGGCGCAGACAAUUGUUCCAAGUGAUUCUAGUAUUGCUCUUACGCUUCAUACUCCACUUUAUCCGCCUGGUAAAAUCAUUCAUGUGGUUCGACAUCAUCCAAACAAGGGAGAGCAAAAAUAUGAAUCGCGAUGGAGGCAAUUAUUACGAAAAAGAGAACCUGUUUAUCAAGCUUUAUGGGCAGAGCCAGGUGAUUUUGAUGAAGUUCUCAUUAGUCCUGUAAUGAUACAGGAUCACAUGCCAGAUAAUAUGCUCAAGGCGCUUAAUAAGCUUUAACCAUCCACUUAAUUGGGAAUACACUCAGAGAAUUGCGCCUCUAGCCACGCCUGAAACUAUGUCCGAGGCGAGCAACUCGCCGUCACCAUUACCACCAACUAGACCAAUUAGACGUACACCAAAAAUAUCUGGGAACUUAUCAACAGCUGCAGAUGAUCUUAAAAGUAAUAUUCAUUUUGCAAUGCUUGCAGCUAAAAAUUAUGGAUUAUGCGAUGAGAUUGCUGGUAGCAAUAGCAGUAGUGGAAAUAGUGAAGCUAGUUAUGAAACAGCGAAAAGUCAACGUCUAGGAGGACUACCACCACCUCCAGUUCCACGACGACGGGAUUCCGUAAUCUUGAGAAGAGAACAUACUGUAUGUACCGCUGCUUGUUGUAGAGAUGAUCUCUCUGACAAUUCUACUCCUUCAUCAAUUCAUUCAACUUGUAUUAUUCGCAAUACUUAUCCUGUACAAAUAGAUUUUUCUAAUGAAGAUAAUGGUACAAAUGAAUCGAGUGUAGAUUUAUACGAAGUCAGGGGAUCACUGGGUCUACGUGAUUGCAAUAAUGAUGUAUUCUUAAGUGUGAAAAGCUCUCCAGAAUGUAAACGACUUAUGACGCCAGCUACAAAUAUCAAUGCUGAAUGGAGGAAACCAUUUGAUACAGUUGGUGGAACUUCUGUUGAUACAUCACUUCCACUACUUCGUGGUUUAUCUCCAACUCCAAGUCAUGUACAACAUACAUCGCCGUUUUCUAGUGCUAAAAGGAAAAAAUAUGUAUAUCCUAUCACGUUAGUUGGCCGAGGCGAAAGUAGUGUUUAAAUUUUUAGCAAUGCACAAAAUUUAUAAUGCCAUGGGACCAUAAUUUUCACUUAAUUUUCUAAAUAAAAGCUCAGCUCUUUUUACAAAGAACUAAGAUUACAAGAGUGAAAACCAGGACUCUUGUGACCUUUAGAUGAACCUGGCGACUCCGCCGUCCAUUUUACGCCAAUAUUUAUACUUUUGUCCCUGUGGCUUUAUUUAUCUAUUAUUGAUUUUUUUUUAUUUUAUGAUAUCAUUUCUCAGAAUGUUAAAUUAAUAAUUUUUUUUAUAUAUUAUUUAAUUUUAAUAUUUUUUGAAUGAUGUGCCAAUAAUUAAUACUUAGCUGUUGUAAUUAUAUACUAAAUAAUAUUUAGGCCUAUUGUACAUCGAACGAAAAAAUUGUUUGAUUCGUUCUAUAAAAUACUUUCUUUAUUAAUACACACAGUAAAAAAUACUGUGUUAAAAUAAAUAUAAUCUGUGUGUUAGAAACAGUCCACACAAUAUUUGUGUUAUUUUGUAACACAGACUAUUUGCGUUGAAUUUAACCACAAAAUUUGUAUCAACAUUUCAACAGAAAAUUCGCAUAAGACGACAAGUUAAUUCAACACUUUAAACGUCAGUGGUGACACAAAAUCAUCAGGAAACCAGUUGACCCUGCGGGCCAGCCCCAAAACUUCCUACUGUUUUUGGGCUCACAUUCGAGCUCUUUAAGCUCGACAAUAUCUUUAAAUACAUUAGUAUUUUCAAGUCCUUCGAGCUCGAAAAAAUGACGUUUCGUAUUACUCUCCAAGAAUUCAAGAAAUUGAAAGUAGUCAAUAAAAAUCGUUUUUUAUAUAGUUUCUUACGGUUAUGCUUAAGAAUUUCAAUGUUUUUGGACAGGAAUUAAUCGAAAUGAUCAAAAUGGAGAGUUACAUCAAUUUCAAUCAAAUCAGUACGUUAACAUAUGAAAUAUCCGGAAAAAAAUGUCAGAAAUAGUGAUUUUUUUAAAAUUUUGAUUGAUCAUAUUAUUUAGACUAACAGACCGAUUGCAAUCAAUUACGUAACCAUCAUCAGAAACUAUGAAGACAUUUACCUUCAUACUAUGGAUAUUCAUUAAAUAUAAAUAAUAUUAAUUUGAGAUUAUCAAAGUGAUAACAAUCGUUACUCAACAUUGAACUAUUUUUUGACAGUAAACAAUGUUUUUAUUAGUCAAAAUUUAAAAAAAAUUUUUUAAUAUUUCAUAGCAGUUAUAAAUAGUCCAUCAAUUUAUGUCUUUUAAAAAAA
Molecule: RNA transcript, 5731 nt
Organism: Microplitis demolitor
Lineage: Eukaryota; Metazoa; Arthropoda; Insecta; Hymenoptera; Braconidae
Gene: inaE
Gene name: diacylglycerol lipase-alpha
Exons: 15
Source: RefSeq, a predicted model, not a curated record